GACGAACGCUGGCGGCGUGCUUAACACAUGCAAGUGGAGCGACGAACCAGGCUUCGGCCUGGGGCAGAGCCGCGAACGGGUGAGUAACACGUGGGUAACCUGCCCUGAUGAUCGGGACAACCCGGGGAAACCCGGGCGUAAUACCGAAUGUGCCCGCGAGCCGCAAGGCUUGCGAGGAAAGGAAGCUUCGGCCUCCGCAUCGGGAUGGGCCCGCGGCCCAUUAGCUUGUUGGUGGGGUAACGGCCUACCAAGGCAGCAAUGGGUAGCUGGUCUGAGAGGACGAUCAGCCACACUGGGACUGAGACACGGCCCAGACUCCUACGGGAGGCAGCAGUGGGGAAUCUUGCGCAAUGCGCGAAAGCGUGACGCAGCAACGCCGCGUGGGGAAGACGGCCUCGGUU
RNAcentral lists this ribosomal RNA (401 nucleotides) under uncultured bacterium. RNAcentral describes it as "bacterial SSU rRNA". It matches the Rfam family "Bacterial small subunit ribosomal RNA", at positions 28 to 424 of the family's 1533-position model. The record is from RNAcentral.